RNAcentral lists this ribosomal RNA (279 nucleotides) under uncultured archaeon. RNAcentral's name for it is "partial 16S rRNA". It matches the Rfam family "Archaeal small subunit ribosomal RNA", at positions 1047 to 1325 of the family's 1478-position model. The record is from RNAcentral.
GAGACCCACGCCAACAGUUGCCAGCAUGUCCUCCGGGAUGGUGGGGACACUGUUGGGACCGCCUCUGCUAAAGAGGAGGAAGGAAUGGGCAACGGUAGGUCAGCAUGCCCCGAAUUAUCCGGGCUACACGCGGGCUACAGUGGUCAGGACAAUGGGUAUCGACACCGAGAGGUGAAGGCAAUCUCUUAAACCUGUCCUUAGUUCGGAUUGUGGGCUGCAACUCGCCCACAUGAAGCUGGAAUCCGUAGUAAUCGCGUCUCAAAAUGGCGCGGUGAAUAU